Molecule: long non-coding RNA, 224 nt
Filed under: Brassica napus (rape)
Lineage: Eukaryota; Viridiplantae; Streptophyta; Magnoliopsida; Brassicales; Brassicaceae
Description: long non-coding RNA (BNAP_LNC007650)
Source: RNAcentral
AGGAAUCGGCUCGUCUUCGAGAAUAUCCACAUCUCUGCAGGGUCUACGAUUUCCUCCGCUCUCGCUUCGGCUUGUGAAUGGCAAAUGGCUCAACAAGGGUGUCUUUCCCUGUGUAGAAUCUCAGCCUUCCUAACUGGAACUAUCACUCCUCCACCACCAUCACUGCUUGGUCAAGAGAAUCAUGCAUAGCUGGCCUAGGAUGGAUUUAUCUAUGACUAUAUUCA